UCGGCUUAGAGUUUGAUCAUGGCUCAGAUUGAACGCUGGCGGCAGGCUUAACACAUGCAAGUCGAACGGUAAAGUAGCUUGCUACUUACGAGUGGCGGACGGGUGAGUAACGUAUGGGAAUUUACCGAAUGGAGGGGGACAACAGUUGGAAACGGCUGCUAAUACCGCAUAACGUCGAGAGGCCAAAGGGUUUCGACUUGCCAUUUGAUGAGCCCAUAUGAGAUUAGCUAGUUGGUGUGGUAAUGGGUCACCAAGGCGACGAUCUCUAGCUGGUUUGAGAGGAUGACCAGCCACACUGGGACUGAGACACGGCCCAGACUCCUACGGGAGGCAGCAGUGGGGAAUAUUGCACAAUGGGGG
This 360-nucleotide ribosomal RNA is filed under the name uncultured Enterobacteriaceae bacterium. RNAcentral describes it as "bacterial SSU rRNA". It matches the Rfam family "Bacterial small subunit ribosomal RNA", at positions 1 to 377 of the family's 1533-position model. The record is from RNAcentral. Lineage: Bacteria; Pseudomonadati; Pseudomonadota; Gammaproteobacteria; Enterobacterales; Enterobacteriaceae.